Molecule: ribosomal RNA, 446 nt
Filed under: uncultured bacterium
Lineage: Bacteria
Description: partial 16S ribosomal RNA
Rfam family: Bacterial small subunit ribosomal RNA
Source: RNAcentral
CCUACGGGAGGCAGCAGUCGAGAAUCAUUCACAAUGGGGGAAACCCUGAUGGUGCGACGCCGCGUGGGGGAAUGAAGGUCUUCGGAUUGUAAACCCCUGUUAUGUGGGAGCAAAUUAAUAAGAUAGUACCACAAGAGGAAGAGACUGCUAACUUGGUGCCAGCAGCUGCGGUAAUACAGAGGUCUCAAGCGUUGUGCGGAAUCACUGGGCGUAAAGCGUGCGUAGGCUGUUUCGUAAGUCGUGUGUGAAAGGCGCGGGCUCAACCCGCGGACGGCACAUGAUACUGCGAGACUAGAGUAAUGGAGGGGGAACCGGAAUUCUCGGUGUAGCGGUGAAAUGCAUAGAUAUCGAGAGGAACACUCGUGGCGAAGGCGGGUUCCUGGACAUUAACUGACGCUGAGGCACGAAGGCCAGGGGAGCGAAAGGGAUUAGAUACCCGGGUAGUC